UUAGGAGAGAGGAUUUCCAUUGACCUGCAGACUUGCUAUGAGGUGGUUGGUGCCAUUGGUGAUCCAGCAAAAAGGGUAAGAGCUGGUAGGAUGAACCUGUUUUGUUCUGUGCUCCCUGCAUUCACCAUCACCUUUCCAUGCAAUCAGAGCUUACAGAAUCCUACAGGAUAGUACAUAGAUAUUUAAUCUGACAGCACAGUGAGCUCCGUGGGGUUCGGUGCUCCUCCUCCUGCUGCACCACUGCACCUUCCUCCCCAGGAACUGACACAGGACGGCUCCCAGUCCUUUUUCCUGCAGUCCAGACAGUCUCUGGGCCACCUGGGGAAGGAGAAUGAAGAAUAUCAAGCCGGUCUGAAAUCCAUCAACCAGCGUUGAGAAAAAACAUACGAAGGGGAAGCCAAAGCAGAAGUAAGCAAAGCUGUUCUGUUGGCUGAAUUCCUCCGGCUCGUUGUGUCCCGCUAUUCAGAUUGAGUCACAACAGGCACUUCUGCUUUGUGCACCUGAAUGUAGGGGGAAAGGAAGAGAUGGCAACAGUGCUCUUCCUCGCUGCCAUUGGCAGAGAAUGCUGCGUCUCUAUUUUGGGAUCCAUCACAGUGCAGGAGGGAUUGGAAUUCUGGAAUAAAUCCUAUGAUUUUUGUUCUUUUUGGUGCCUGA
Non-coding RNA from Coturnix japonica (Japanese quail), 654 nucleotides. NCBI's taxonomy places the organism in Eukaryota, Metazoa, Chordata, Aves, Galliformes, Phasianidae. The record is from RefSeq and is a predicted model, not a curated record.